Molecule: ribosomal RNA, 130 nt
Filed under: Pseudomonas putida
Lineage: Bacteria; Pseudomonadati; Pseudomonadota; Gammaproteobacteria; Pseudomonadales; Pseudomonadaceae
Description: partial 16S ribosomal RNA
Rfam family: Bacterial small subunit ribosomal RNA
Source: RNAcentral
UUGCGCUAUCAAAUGAGCCUAGGUCGGAUUAACUAGUAGGUGAGGUAAUGGCUCACCUAGGCGACGAUCCGUAACUGGUCUGAGAGGAUGAUCAGGCCCACUGGAACUGAAACACGGGCCAGACUCCUAC